CGCCUCUUGAAUUUAUAUAAGAGGUCCAGCCUGCCCAGUGACCCUGUUCAACGGCCGCGGUAUCCUAACCGUGCGAAGGUAGCGUAAUCACUUGUUCUCUAAAUGUGGACUAGUAUGAAUGGCAUCACGAAGGUUAUACUGUCUCCUUUUUCUAAUCAGUGAAACUAAUCUCCCCGUGAAGAAGCGGGGAUAAUACUAUAAGACGAGAAGACCCUAUGGAGCUUUAAACAGUACAGCAUCUGCCCCAUAACACUAAAAUUUCUGAAUAAAAACUUCAUUGGACAGUAUGACUGCGAGUUUUUGGUUGGGGUGACCACGGAGCAUAAUACAACCUCCGUGCUGAAAGAAAAUUUCUAAGCCAAGGUCUACAAACCUAAGCAUCAACACAUUGACAUCCAUUGACCCAAUACACUUGAACAACGAACCAAGUUACCCUAGGGAUAACAGCGCAAUCCACUUCAAAAGCUCCUAUCGACAAGUGGGUUUACGACCUCGAUGUUGGAUCAGGGUCUCCCAGUGGUGCAGCCGCUACUAAAGGUUCGUUUGUUCAACGAUUAAAACCCU
Molecule: ribosomal RNA, 564 nt
Filed under: Bufo bufo (common toad)
Lineage: Eukaryota; Metazoa; Chordata; Amphibia; Anura; Bufonidae
Description: partial 16S ribosomal RNA
Rfam family: Bacterial large subunit ribosomal RNA
Source: RNAcentral